Molecule: long non-coding RNA, 1075 nt
Organism: Eriocheir sinensis (Chinese mitten crab)
Lineage: Eukaryota; Metazoa; Arthropoda; Malacostraca; Decapoda; Varunidae
Exons: 3
Source: RefSeq, a predicted model, not a curated record
AAACGGCAAGUAGAACCUUCCCUGGUGUGAUGGGUGCUAGAAAGGCAUCUGGAGAGAUAUCGGAUUUCCUUACUGUGCAUUGAUAGAUAGAUAUGAUAAUUUUGGGAAGUUCAUCAGUGCAGCAUUAGAAUAUAUGAGGUCUUACUGUGCAUUGAUGGAUAGAUAUGAUAAUUUUGGGAAGUUCAUCAGUACAGCAUUAGAAUAUAUGAGGUCUUACUGUGCAAUGAUGGAUAGAUAUGAUAAUUUUGGGAAGUUCAUCAGCGCAGCAUUAGAAUAUAUGAGGUCUUACUGUGCAUAGAUAGAUGGAUAGAUAUGAUAAUUUUGGGAUGUGUAUCAGCGCAGCAUUAGAAUAUAUGAGGUCUUACUGUGCAUUGAUAGAUGGAUAGAUAUGAUAAUUUUGGGAUGUGUAUCAGCGCAGCAUUAGAAUAUAUGAGGUAUCUGGAAGAGGGACAAAGUUAAUUUUUUCUGGUUUUCUUUUGCACUGGGAAAGGCAUACUACACAUCACUUGAAGAACAAGAUAUAAGUUGCAAGGGAAAAGUGACCCUCGGUACACCAACCACAAGGUCACUUUUCGCUUGCAACUUGUUUCUUUCUUGUUCUUCCUGUGAUGUGUAGCCUGCCUUUCCCAGUGUUAACAGAAGAAGAAGAAAAAAACGGCUUGUCCCUUGCGCUCCUUCUCUCGACACCUCAUAUAUUACAUGCAAAAGCAGUGGGGAUGUUGAGUAUGCUUUUAUUCAUUGGGUAAAAGUCCAUCGAAGACGAGUUUAACCCCUUGACUGCAAAUUUCCCACAAGAAGACAUCACCAAGCUACAGGAAUGGAACAAAAAGUGGCUGCUACAAUUCAGUGAAGAUAAAUGUAAAGUCCUGCACCUUGGGAGGGGAAUCCAGCAUACCAAUACCACAUGGGAAACACUCCACUAUCCACCACAGAGGCAGAGAAAGACCUGGGACACUAUGUUACCAAGCUACCAGUGAAAGCCAAAUCCGUGUCAAUCGCAGCGGACGGGUUAAGUGAAGAUAAAUUAGGAUAAAUGAUGGAAAAGUAAGUUUGAAUUGUUGCUUAUGAUGGCUUA